This 253-nucleotide ribosomal RNA is filed under the name uncultured bacterium. RNAcentral describes it as "partial 16S ribosomal RNA". It matches the Rfam family "Archaeal small subunit ribosomal RNA", at positions 474 to 727 of the family's 1478-position model. The record is from RNAcentral.
UACGAGCACCCCGAGUGGUCGGGACGUUUAUUGGGCCUAAAGCAUCCGUAGCCGGUUCUACAAGUCUUCCGUUAAAUCCAACUGCUUAACAGGUGGGCUGCGGAAGAUACUAUAGAGCUAGGAGGCGGGAGAGGCAAGCGGUACUCGAUGGGUAGGGGUAAAAUCCGUUGAUCCAUUGAAGACCACCAGUGGCGAAGGCGGCUUGCCAGAACGCGCUCGACGGUGAGGGAUGAAAGCUGGGGGAGCAAACCGG